This is a long non-coding RNA of Coregonus clupeaformis (lake whitefish), 566 nucleotides long. RefSeq lists it as uncharacterized. NCBI's taxonomy places the organism in Eukaryota, Metazoa, Chordata, Actinopteri, Salmoniformes, Salmonidae. The record is from RefSeq and is a predicted model, not a curated record. The transcript has 3 exons.
AUUUUGUUGUGUCCAUACUUUUGACUGGUUCUGACGACCAGCUGUAUACCUGGGCUACCUUCGGCCUGCCCUCCCACAUCUGGGAGUCCCAUGAAGGGCAUACCCCAGGCCACAUCCAGGUCCUGUGGCCCCCUCCACAGCCAGCUCGGAAUUCGUCAAAGUCAGGGAAUCUGUGACAAAAGGAUAAUGGCAGUGAUAUUCCAGGGCUGGAGCAGACCAUCAAUGACUUGAGGAUAAAGAUUGCAGCACUGGAAAUCCAGCAUGCAUCUCUGGAGAUGGCAUUCCACUCUAAGGAGAGUGGGGAUAGGGACAAUACUGUGGCCUUGGGGGGUGUCAACCACACAUGGAAGAAGAGGAUGGAGAUUUCCGUACAGACAUCACCUGUGAAGGAGGGCUUUAGAUUUGAAGUGCCUUUCAAGGGAGGGUCAAUCCCCUCCUCAGCCUCUGUCCCACCAAUCUCCUCCUCCUCCCUCCCCAACCCUGGCUUUGUCUGUACCUGCCAACAGCAGCAGCAGAGUGGUACCCAGCCCCCACCUCCUCCCACCCCAGGUGUAUCCCCUCCUCCA